This 725-nucleotide small RNA is filed under the name Arabidopsis thaliana (thale cress). Its description in RNAcentral is "ATSL081050". Lineage: Eukaryota; Viridiplantae; Streptophyta; Magnoliopsida; Brassicales; Brassicaceae. The record is from RNAcentral.
AUAAAUUGAUUUUUUGGCAGGACUUGUUUAACGGGAUGGAUUUUUGAAUCAACAUCGAAAAACAAAUAAAAUAUUAUUAAUUUGUUGCUUCGAUACAGGUUAAAUCUGUAUAAUUUAGAGAAGAUUGUAUAAAGAAAAAUUCUUUCUAAUGCCCUUUUCAUGAUGCCCCUUUUAAACUCUACCCUUUUGUUUUAUCCAUUUUCAUUUCUACCCUCUUUAAAUUUUUAAUGACCAUUUUACCCCUAUUUGAAAAUUGUUUUAGGUUAACAAAAUGAAAUAUUAAUCGUUUUCGCCUAAAAUAUUCCAAAACAAAUUUCCCGCCAAAAUUUUUCGAAAAAACAAAUUUCCCGCCAAAAUUAUUUUUUCAAAAAUAAAUUCCCGCAGAACAAACUUUUUCGCGGGAAAAAUAUUUACAAGGGAUUUUAAAAUGAUUUUAAAAUAUUUACAAGGAAUUUUAAAAGGAAGACUUACAAUGGAUUUUAAAAGGUUUAUAAAAGAUUUACAAGGGAUUUGAAAAGAGUUUUAAAAGAUUUACAAGAAAUUUUAAAAAGGUUUUAUAAGAUUUGCAAGGGAUUUUAAAGGGAUUUAAAAGAUUUACAAAAGUUUUUUAAAGGUUUAAAAUUGUUUUAAAAGGAUUUUAAAAUAUUUACAAGGGAUUUUAAAAGGGUUUUAAAAUAUUUACAAGGGAUUUUAAAAGGGUUUUAAAAUAUUUACAUAUGUUUUUU